GGCCCAAUGGUCUAGUAGUAUGAUUCGCGCUUCGGGUGCGCGAGGUCCCGGGUUCAAUUCCCGGUUGGGCCC
Molecule: transfer RNA, 72 nt
Filed under: Sparassis crispa
Lineage: Eukaryota; Fungi; Basidiomycota; Agaricomycetes; Polyporales; Sparassidaceae
Also listed under: 3 other names
Description: tRNA-Pro
Rfam family: tRNA
About the family: Transfer RNA (tRNA) molecules are approximately 80 nucleotides in length. Their secondary structure includes four short double-helical elements and three loops (D, anti-codon, and T loops). Further hydrogen bonds mediate the characteristic L-shaped molecular structure. tRNAs have two regions of fundamental functional importance: the anti-codon, which is responsible for specific mRNA codon recognition, and the 3' end, to which the tRNAs corresponding amino acid is attached (by aminoacyl-tRNA synthetases). tRNAs cope with the degeneracy of the genetic code in two manners: having more than one tRNA (with a specific anti-codon) for a particular amino acid; and 'wobble' base-pairing, i.e. permitting non-standard base-pairing at the 3rd anti-codon position.
Source: RNAcentral